Molecule: ribosomal RNA, 510 nt
Filed under: uncultured bacterium
Lineage: Bacteria
Description: partial 16S ribosomal RNA
Rfam family: Bacterial small subunit ribosomal RNA
Source: RNAcentral
GACGAACGCUGGCGGCGUGCUUAACACAUGCCAGUCGAACGAAGAGCGAUGGGAGCUUGCUUCUAUCAAUCUUAGUGGCGAACGGGUGAGUAACGCGUAAUCAACCUGCCCUUCAGAGGGGGACAACAGUUGGAAACGACUGCUAAUACCGCAUACGAUCUAAUCUCGGCAUCGAGGAUAGAUGAAAGGUGGCCUCUACAUGUAAGCUAUCACUGAAGGAGGGGAUUGCGUCUGAUUAGCUAGUUGGAGGGGUAACGGCCCACCAAGGCGAUGAUCAGUAGCCGGUCUGAGAAGAUGAAUGGCCACAUUGGGACUGAGACACGGCCCAGACUCCUACGGGAGGCAGCAGUGGGGAAUCUUCCGCAAUGGACGAAAGUCUGACGGAGCAACGCCGCGUGAGUGAUGACGGCCUUCGGGUUGUAAAGCUCUGUUAAUCGGGACGAAAGGCCUUCUUGCGAAUAGUGAGAAGGAUUGACGGUACCGGAAUAGAAAGCCACGGCUAACUACGUG